UGGCCUAUAGUUGAUCCUCCAGCCGAUCCAUCGAUGAUUGCCCUUAAUGCUGGUGUUAGCCCUUGAUAGAACUUCUGGACUAGGUCAUCUUUCGAGUACUUAUGGUGUGGAACUACAAAGACGUACUCAUUGAAUUCCUCAUGAGCUUCAGCAAUCAUCUCGGAAGCAUAUUGAGCAAAACUAGCUAUCCUGCUUCUGAUAUUCUGAGUCUAGCUGGCAAGUAAGGUUCAGUUAAGAAAGCCUUCAUCAACUCAUCCCAAUUCUAAAUCGUUGCCACCGGUAGAGAGUAAAACCAUUGAAGCGCUCAUCCAAGUAGAGAGUAAGUGAACAAUCUUACCCUUAGUUGAUUCUGAGUAACUCCAUCCGCGUCGAUGGUGUUGCAUAGCUGCGUAAAAGCUUGUAGAACAAGAUUAGCAUCUUCCUUGCCAGUGAAAGGUGAACUCUGCAAGAUCCUCAGUCUUGAAGUACCGAUCCUACACGGUCGGCCGACACAACCCAAUUCAUGGAUAGGUAAGUCAUUAAUGUUUAGAAUGCCGUAAAGUUUUUCUAGAUCAUCCACAAAAUUUUUCAAUUUAUUAGAGAUGUAGCCG
This 590-nucleotide long non-coding RNA is filed under the name Setaria viridis. RNAcentral describes it as "long non-coding RNA (SVIR_LNC006561)". Lineage: Eukaryota; Viridiplantae; Streptophyta; Magnoliopsida; Poales; Poaceae. The record is from RNAcentral.